This 460-nucleotide ribosomal RNA is filed under the name uncultured bacterium. RNAcentral's name for it is "partial 16S ribosomal RNA". It matches the Rfam family "Bacterial small subunit ribosomal RNA", at positions 338 to 795 of the family's 1533-position model. The record is from RNAcentral.
CCUACGGGCGGCAGCAGUGGGGAAUAUUCGUCAAUGGACGAGAGUCUGAACCAGCCAAGUCGCGUGAAGGAUGACUGCCCUAUGGGUUGUAAACUUCUUUUAUAUGGGAAUAAAAUGUUCCACGUGUGGGAAUUUGUAUGUACCAUAUGAAUAAGGAUCGGCUAACCCCGUGCCAGCAGCCGCGGUAAUACGGAGGAUCCGAGCGUUGUCCGGUUUUAUUGGGUUUAAAGGGAGCGUAGGUGGAUUGUUAAGUUAGUUGUGAAAGGUUGCGGCUCAACCGGAAAAUUGCAGUUGAAACUGGCAGUCUUGAGUACAGUAGAGGUGGGUGGAAUUCGUGGUGUAGCGGUGAAAUGCGUAGAUAUCACGAAGAACUCCGAUUGCGAAGGCAGUUCACUGGACUGCAACUGACACUGAGGCUCGAAAGUGUGGGGAUCAAACAGGAUUAGAUACCCGUGUAGUC